GCGCGUAAAUUGCCCGAAUCCUGACACAGGGAGGUAGUGACAAGAAAUAACAAUACAGGGCUAUCUUAGUCUUGUAAUUGGAAUGAGUACAAUUUACAUCUCUUCACGAGGAUCAAUUGGAGGGCAAGUCUGGUGCCAGCAGCCGCGGUAAUUCCAGCUCCAAUAGCGUAUAUUAAAGUUGUUGCAGUUAAAACGCUCGUAGUCGGAUUUCGGGGCGGGGCCGCCGGUCUGCCGAUGGGUAUGCACUGGCGGUCGCGUCCUUCCUUCCGGAGACUGGCCCUACUCUUAACUGAGCGGGGUCGGGAGACGGAUCGUUUACUUUGAAAAAAUCAGAGUGUUUCAAGCAGGCAGCUCGCUCUUGCAUGGAUUAGCAUGGGAUAAUGAAAUAAGACUUUGGUGCUAUUUUGUUGGUUUCGAACACCGAAGUAAUGAUUAUCAGGGACAGUCAGGGGCACUCGUAUUCC
Molecule: ribosomal RNA, 464 nt
Filed under: Haptophyta environmental samples
Lineage: Eukaryota; Haptophyta
Description: SSU rRNA
Rfam family: Eukaryotic small subunit ribosomal RNA
Source: RNAcentral